Molecule: ribosomal RNA, 764 nt
Filed under: Desulfomicrobium sp. enrichment culture clone SB1-105
Lineage: Bacteria; Pseudomonadati; Thermodesulfobacteriota; Desulfovibrionia; Desulfovibrionales; Desulfomicrobiaceae
Description: bacterial SSU rRNA
Rfam family: Bacterial small subunit ribosomal RNA
Source: RNAcentral
AAUGAACGCUGGCGGCGUGCCUAACACAUGCAAGUCGUACGAGAAAGGGGCUUCGGCCCUGAGUAGAGUGGCGCACGGGUGAGUAACGCGUGGGUAAUCUACCCUUGGAUUUGGGAUAACUCUGCGAAAGUGGAGCUAAUACCGGAUAGUCUGGCUUUAAAUAAGAAGUCGGUAAAGGAUGCCUCUGCAUAUGCAUUCGUCCGAGGAUGAGCCCGCGUCUCAUUAGCUAGUUGGUAGGGUAAUGGCCUACCAAGGCAACGAUGAGUAGCUGGUCUGAGAGGAUGAUCAGCCACACUGGAACUGAAACACGGUCCAGACUCCUACGGGAGGCAGCAGUGGGGAAUAUUGCGCAAUGGGCGAAAGCCUGACGCAGCAACGCCGUGUGAGGGAUGAAGGCUUUCGGGUCGUAAACCUCUGUCGGAAGGGAAGAACGGGCAUUGGUCUAAUAGGCCUUUGUUUUGACGGUACCUUUUGAGGAAGCACCGGCUAACUCCGUGCCAGCAGCCGCGGUAAUACGGAGGGUGCAAGCGUUAUUCGGAAUUACUGGGCGUAAAGCGCACGUAGGCGGCCUUGUAAGUCAGGGGUGAAAUCCCACGGCUCAACCGUGGAACUGCCUUUGAAACUGCAGGGCUUGAAUCCUGGAGAGGGUGGCGGAAUUCCUGGUGUAGGAGUGAAAUCCGUAGAUAUCAGGAGGAACACCGGUGGCGAAGGCGGCCACCUGGACAGGUAUUGACGCUGAGGUGCGAAAGCGUGGGGAGCAAACA